AGUGGCGAACGGGUGAGUAACGCGUGAGUAUCUGCCCUUAGGAGGGGGACAACAGUUGGAAACGACUGCUAAUACCCCAUAUGUCUACGGAUGAAAGAUUUUAUCGCCUGAGGAUGAACUCGCGUCUGAUUAGCUAGUUGGUGAGGUAAUGGCUCACCAAGGCGACUAUCAGUAGCUGGUCUGAGAGGAUGAUCAGCCACACUGGGACUGAGACACGGCCCAGACUCCUACGGGAGGCAGCAGUGGGGAAUUUUCCGCAAUGGGGGCAACCCUGACGGAGCAAUACCGCGUGCGGGAGGACGGCCUGUGGGUUGUAAACCGCUUUUCUCAGGGAAGAAGACCUGACGGUACCUGAGGAAUCAGCAUCGGCUAACUCCGUGCCAGCAGCCGCGGUAAUACGGAGGAUGCAAGCGUUAUCCGGAAUUAUUGGGCGUAAAGCGUCCGUAGGUGGUUAAUCAAGUCUGCUGUUAAAGAGCGGAGCUUAACUCCGUUUAAGCGGUGGAAACUGGUUGACUAGAGAGUGGUAGGGGUAGAGGGAAUUCCCAGUGUAGCGGUGAAAUGCGUAGAUAUUGGGAAGAACACCGGUGGCGAAAGCGCUCUACUGGGCCACAUCUGACACUGAUGGACGAAAGCUAGGGGAGCGAAAGGGAUUAGAUACCCC
This 661-nucleotide ribosomal RNA is filed under the name uncultured bacterium. Its description in RNAcentral is "bacterial SSU rRNA". It matches the Rfam family "Bacterial small subunit ribosomal RNA", at positions 94 to 788 of the family's 1533-position model. The record is from RNAcentral.